AGCGGCAKCUUACACAUGCAGUCGAACGAUGAAGCCGCUUCGGUGGUGGAUUAGUGGCGAACGGGUGAGUAMCACGUGGGCAAUCUGCCCUUCACUCUGGGACAAGCCCUGGAAACGGGGUCUAAUACCGGAUAACACUCUGUYCCGCAUGGGACGGGGUUGAAAGCUCCGGCGGUGAAGGAUGAGCCCGCGGCCUAUCAGCUUGUUGGUGGGGUAAUGGCCUACCAAGGCGACGACGGGUAGCCGGCCUGAGAGGGCGACCGGCCACACUGGGACUGAGACACGGCCCAGACUCCUACGGGAGGCAGCAGUGGGGAAUAUUGCACAAUGGGCGAAAGCCUGAUGCAGCGACGCCGCGUGAGGGAUGACGGCCUUCGGGUUGUAAACCUCUUUCAGCAGGGAAGAAGCGAAAGUGACGGUACCUGCAGAAGAAGCGCCGGCUAACUACGUGCCAGCAGCCGCGGUAAUACGUAGGGCGCAAGCGUUGUCCGGAAUUAUUGGGCGUAAAGAGCUCGUAGGCGGCUUGUCACGUCGGAUGUGAAAGCCCGGGGCUUAACCCCGGGUCUGCAUUCGAUACGGGCUAGCUAGAGUGUGGUAGGGGAGAUCGGAAUUCCUGGUGUAGCGGUGAAAUKGCGUAAAAA
Molecule: ribosomal RNA, 641 nt
Filed under: Streptomyces badius
Lineage: Bacteria; Bacillati; Actinomycetota; Actinomycetes; Kitasatosporales; Streptomycetaceae
Description: bacterial SSU rRNA
Rfam family: Bacterial small subunit ribosomal RNA
Source: RNAcentral